UCAUUGAGAAAUGGGUCCGAAAUUACUGUUCAUGAGUCAGAGAAUUUUCAGCAGUAGCCAUUAAUUCACAAAACCCUAAUUUCUACUUUCCCAACCAGUUUUCAGAUCAAACACUAAAAUUACAAAGAAAAUAACAUGAACUCAUGAAGAAUAUUCAUAGAUUCAUCAAAAUCCAGCAACACAAAACUUAAGCAAAACCUCAAAUCAAUCCAUACAACCACACAAAUCAUCAUCAUCUAAACUGUACAAACAGAUCUGAAACAAAGAACGAAAAGAAGAGGAAGCAAACCGAACCGGAACCAGAUUGGAGCAAAAAGCAAACCGGAUCGGAAGGAGAGGAGCAAACCGAACCGGAAAAAGAGGAGGAGAACCGGACCGGAUUCAAACAAAGAGAGGGAGAUCGGAAAAAGAGGUAAUGAUAUGAGGAGCCUUAGGCAAUAUAGUUUCAGGAAGCCAGAUCUCUUGAGUUUGAGGAAGCUAGGGAAGAAAGUGGUUUGUACGGACGAUUUCUACAAGCAAUAUGGAAAUCUGAUGGGUGUUGUUAAGACAGAUAUUGACGAAGGGCUUCUCAACGCUUUUGUUCAGUUCUAUGACCCGAGCUACCAUUGCUU
RNAcentral lists this long non-coding RNA (611 nucleotides) under Medicago truncatula (barrel medic). RNAcentral's name for it is "lncRNA gene1159". Lineage: Eukaryota; Viridiplantae; Streptophyta; Magnoliopsida; Fabales; Fabaceae. The record is from RNAcentral.